RNAcentral lists this transfer RNA (72 nucleotides) under Canis lupus familiaris (dog). It matches the Rfam family "tRNA". Rfam says of the family: Transfer RNA (tRNA) molecules are approximately 80 nucleotides in length. Their secondary structure includes four short double-helical elements and three loops (D, anti-codon, and T loops). Further hydrogen bonds mediate the characteristic L-shaped molecular structure. tRNAs have two regions of fundamental functional importance: the anti-codon, which is responsible for specific mRNA codon recognition, and the 3' end, to which the tRNAs corresponding amino acid is attached (by aminoacyl-tRNA synthetases). tRNAs cope with the degeneracy of the genetic code in two manners: having more than one tRNA (with a specific anti-codon) for a particular amino acid; and 'wobble' base-pairing, i.e. permitting non-standard base-pairing at the 3rd anti-codon position. Lineage: Eukaryota; Metazoa; Chordata; Mammalia; Carnivora; Canidae. RNAcentral also lists the same sequence under 1 other name. The record is from Rfam by way of RNAcentral.
ACCUGGCUGGCUUAGUUGGUAGAGCACGAGACUCUUGAUCUUGGGUUACAAGUUCAAGCCCCAUGUUGGGUG